UCGGGAAUAUUGCGCAAUGGAGGAAACUCUGACGCAGUGACGCCGCGUGCAGGAAGAAGGUUUUCGGAUUGUAAACUGCUUUAGACAGGGAAGAAUAAAGACAGUACCUGUAGAAUAAGCUCCGGCUAACUACGUGCCAGCAGCCGCGGUAAUACGUAGGGAGCAAGCGUUAUCCGGAUUUAUUGGGUGUAAAGGGUGCGUAGACGGGAAAACAAGUUAGUUGUGAAAUCCCUCGGCUUAACUGAGGAACUGCAACUAAAACCUAUUUUUUCUUGAGUGUUGGAGAGGAAAGUGGAAUUCCUAGUGUAGCGGUGAAAUGCGUAGAUAUUAGGAGGAACACCGGUGGCGAAGGCGACUUUCUGGACAAUAACUGACGUUGAGGCACGAAAGUGUGGGGAGCAAACAGGAUUAGAUACCC
This 418-nucleotide ribosomal RNA is filed under the name uncultured bacterium. Its description in RNAcentral is "bacterial SSU rRNA". It matches the Rfam family "Bacterial small subunit ribosomal RNA", at positions 355 to 787 of the family's 1533-position model. The record is from RNAcentral.